CCAGCAGCUGGCAGGUCUCCUCGUGGACCUGCCCCACUCCCACGGCCUCUGCCAUCACCUUCAUGGACUCGGCAGGCAGCAGCGUGUGGCUCAGCUUCAGCUUCUUCUCCUCCGCCAUCCUCCCUCCCUUCUCCUCUCUCCUCCCUCCCUCCCCUUCCUGCUCUAUUCUUUUUCUUUUUCUCUUCCUCUUCUUUUCCUCUCUUCCUCUUCACUUCCUGCGUUUCCUUUUCCCUUCUAUUUUCUUUUUAUUCUCCUUUCUUUCUCUUCCACUUUUUCCUCUUCCUUCUUUCCUUUUUCUUCUUUCUCUCCCCUUUUUCUUCUCUUCUUCGUUGCCACUCUCUUCCCUUUAUCCUUUCCCUUUUCCUCUUCCUUUUUUCCUUUUUCUUUUCCUUCUUUCCUUCCUCUUCCUUCUCCCUUCCUCUUCCUCCCCCCGCAGACGCAGGGCAGCCCCUAGAAAAGCACAAAACCUUAUGGGGGCAACAGAAGGAGACCCCAAUGUUGGGGUCUGU
RNAcentral lists this long non-coding RNA (509 nucleotides) under Meleagris gallopavo (turkey). RNAcentral's name for it is "lncRNA (ENSMGAG00000022073.1)". Lineage: Eukaryota; Metazoa; Chordata; Aves; Galliformes; Phasianidae. The record is from RNAcentral.